RNA transcript from Oncorhynchus tshawytscha (Chinook salmon), 3782 nucleotides. It is a transcript of the gene named isocitrate dehydrogenase (NAD(+)) 3 non-catalytic subunit beta, with no coding region annotated. The record is from RefSeq and is a predicted model, not a curated record. Lineage: Eukaryota; Metazoa; Chordata; Actinopteri; Salmoniformes; Salmonidae. The transcript has 12 exons.
AUUGUACUCCAGUGUAGUAGGUGGCGGUAAUACAACAUUUAUUGGAUGCCAACUGCGCUUAAACCUCGAAGAAGAAUUGAUUUCCUCCACAUUCUUUCUGGUUUGUGGAUCAUGAUGGCUGCCGCCUUGAGAGGAAGCGUUGUAACAUUGGCCAAGGGCCUUACUGGCACUGGUCCGCGGUGGCAGCAGCUGGCUGCCCGGUCCCUCAAUAUGACUGCCAGUCUGGGUGGGCCUGAGGCACCUCCGGCCCGCGCCGACGCCACAUUCAAGGUCACCAUGGUGCCCGGGGAUGGAGUAGGACCUGAACUGAUGACUGCCGUCAAGGAGGUGUUCAAGGCGGGUGAUGUCCCAGUGGAGUUUGAGGAGUUCCACCUAAGUGAGGUGCAGCACAUGGACAGCGACGAGAAGCUGGAGCAGGUGUUGGCCUCCAUGAAGACCAACAGGGUGGCCAUGAAAGGAAAGAUUAACACCCCCAUGGAGUUCAAAGGGGAGCUGGCUGGCUUUGAGAUGAAAAUUAGGCGGAGGCUGGACCUGUUUGCAAACGUGGUACAUGUGAACAGCCUGCCCGGCUACAGCACCCGCCACAACAACCUGGACCUGGUCAUCAUCCGAGAGCAGACUGAGGGAGAGUACAGCUCUCUGGAGCACGAGAGCGUGCCUGGAGUGAUUGAAUGUCUGAAGAUCAUCACUAGGGAGAAGUCUCGGCGCAUCGCCAAGUUUGCCUUCGACUACGCCACCAAGAAGGGUCGCAGCAAGGUCACGGCGGUCCACAAGGCCAACAUCAUGAAGCUUGCAGAUGGCCUGUUCCUACAGUGCUGUGCCGAGGUGGCAGAGCUGUAUCCCAAGAUCAAAUAUGAGAACAUCAUCAUAGACAACUGUUGCAUGCAGCUGGUCCAGAACCCAUACCAGUUUGACGUGCUGGUGAUGCCCAACCUUUAUGGCAACAUCAUUGACAACCUGGCUGCUGGGCUGGUCGGCGGGGCAGGAGUGGUGCCAGGAGAGAGCUACAGCGCCGAGUAUGCCGUGUUUGAGACCGGAGCUCGGCACCCCUUUGCCCAGGCUGUAGGCAGGAACAUCGCCAACCCCACGGCCAUGCUGCUCAGUGCUGCCAACAUGCUCCAUCACCUCAACCUGGAAUACCACUCCAAUAUGGUGUCAGAUGCUGUCAGGAAGGUCAUCAAACAGGGCAAGGUGCGGACGCGAGACCUGGGCGGUUACAGCACGACCGGGGACUUUGUGCAAGCCGUUGUGGGGAACCUCCGCCACCGACCCAUGUACUAAAGAAGUCCCGAUCCCCUGAACGCCCUGCCCUUUUCUGUAAACUGGACGGCCAACCAAAUAUAAUCUGGAUAUAUUGAACCCAAUGUUGCCACAUUCCCUAAACUUUACCCCACUAACUUUUUUGCUCACUUUCCCACUAAACUAACACUUACGUCACUCUUGGCAGCUCUCUCCUCCGCUUUCUUUUCAUAUUCCUCUUUACGCGCUCGGUGUAUCCUUUAUUUCGUUAUUCUCUCUCUCUAAAUUCAAAAAUUAUUGGCCAAAGCAGAUAAUCAUCGUCAUUUAAAAAUUUUUUUUUACCAAAUCGUCCAUUUAUGCCGUGGACUUCUAUUUUCUCCCAGUCUUUUCCUUGUGGAACCCUUUCUCCAACUGAGCACCCCCUGCUUGGUGCCGUUUCCUGCUUCUCUCUUUUCCUCCAUGUCAGCCUGUUCUUUUGUACUGCCUCUGCUGUUGGCUGCACUCUUCUAUAAGCUGUUCUAGAAUCUUCUCUGUUUUGUCUGCUCUACUAACUCCCUAUAGUCUACUCUCCUAUUUGUCAGCUAACUCUCUUUCCCUCCACUCCAACUCUUCCUCUUCUCUCUCUGAGCUGUUUCAUUCUCUGCUGUGGAGAAGCAUAUGAUCUUAUAUUACAUUGACCUCCACUAGUCCAGCCUUGCAGUCCAUACCGGUCGGGCCGUGUGUUAUUCAGCAGUAUUGGUCAAGCAGGUUUCGAGCCACGGGGACAAUUCACCGAUGCCAAAGGGAGUGAGAAAUCUCUACCACAGCACUGUAUCAAUGGAUAUCUGGCCUGUCAUUUCACAGUCCUGAGUCGUGCCAGGCAUAUACAGUACGUCGUUCAUAACCCUUUGACUCUAUGUGCAGACUUUUCUUGGCUUGGAGUCCAGGCUACCGUGGUAGCAUAUGCGUAGACUACCGUAGCUGUAGACUUCCUGUCAUUGCGCUGACGCUAGUUAGCAUUGGCUCUUGAAACUACCUCUAACUGCCUUCAUUCUGUACGCAGAGACAAAAAUGGUAUCCAUGAGUUCGUCUGACUCUGGGUAAGUAGAAAACAGCUUAAUUGCCAGAAUCUUGCAGCAUCCUUUUUAACUGGCCUUUUCAAUCACAACCUUUAAUUACGUGCAGACUGUUUUAGUUGCUGUAAAAAAAAUUUUUUUUAAACUGCACUGGUUUCCACUGAGUCAUCAUAAACAUGGAAGUUUCUCACGAACACUUAUCAGCACCACUGUCUUAAAGGAGACAGGAUGUAGAGGUCAUUCCUGAGAAGGGUGACAUUUUCAGAAUCUACAAUCAAUGUUUUGAUAUUGUUGCGUUAGCAGGGAUGCUAACACGUUAGCCAAUUUCACCAUUUGGUAUUUGUAGCUAGCUUCAUAGAACCUUUUAAUGAUCCAUUGUCGCUCAUCUGCAUACUCUAGUCAUCACUAGUUACUAAAAAUAAAUCUUAAUAAUUUGUUCACUGUGUAUGCUGUAAAACGCACAUAAUGUGUAUCGUAGAGGUCACUAUCUAGGUAGCUUUUUGCUGGAGUUGCCCUUGGAGAUCCAUCGUGUUUGGCUGUUCAGUCAGGCAAAGCUCUUUCAUCAUUAAAUUUGCAAACGAACAAGCCACUGUAACUCGAGCCUACGACCAGCCUUGCCUGAGUUCACUUUGGCUUUGGACUUUGUGCCAAAAGUCCAUUAAAUUAUAUAUUGGUUAUGUUGAUGAUCUCAGUGGUAGCAUUUCUAUUAGGGACUUAGACUGGCAUGUGUCAGUCAGUCAUUGGGACUUCAAAUGUAUUGGCUUAUGUCAUAUUAUCAUGGUCAAAUACUGAAGAAUAAAAGAUGGGAAAAUGUUUGUUGGCCUGUUUUCUCAACAACAAAAAAAUGUAAUCAAAGGUGUGAUUUUUAAACUCGCAUUGUUUUGUUUUCCAGGCGUAGGAUGAGUGGUGCAGCAUCUGUUGAAAGACCAACAUAGACUACGCUAGCCAUAAAUGUGCGCACAGGAGACCUGGGGGGCUAUGCCACAAGCGACGAGUUCACCAGAGCUGUCAUCGCCAACCUAGCCAUCUGAACUAGCCUCUCAAACACACACUUUAUUUUACUCCCUUCAAACUAGUCUCUCUGCAUUGACCACUCAAACAGCUGCGCAACAGAUUAAAUCCUGACCCAUGCUCAACAACAGCUAACACCCAUAGACUGAAAUGCAUACAAACCCCAAAAUAUGUAAAAAUACACACAAUGAAAUUGAGGACCGGUUACAUAAAUGAGAAGACAAUAUGGGGUCGACACCUACAGUCUUGUGAACGGUACCAAAAUAAAUGUUUUCCCAUUCAACAAUAGUUGUAUGGAACUUGUAAGUCACAUUCCACAUUCUCUACCAGAGUGGUGGUGUUCAAUGAAUGGAUCUUGUUUAGAUAUUCAUACAAGAUACAUGUACUAUAUCAGUAUAUUUUAUUUAUUCACUACAAGUGUUAUAUGCAUUAUUGACUUAUUCAUUCAUAAUUAGUAAUAAACAUUCCUAUACCUGA